RNAcentral lists this non-coding RNA (26 nucleotides) under Rattus norvegicus (Norway rat). The record is from RNAcentral. Lineage: Eukaryota; Metazoa; Chordata; Mammalia; Rodentia; Muridae.
GAUGAGCUGAACAAGCUUCGGGUGUU